Molecule: ribosomal RNA, 2921 nt
Filed under: Triticum aestivum (bread wheat)
Lineage: Eukaryota; Viridiplantae; Streptophyta; Magnoliopsida; Poales; Poaceae
Description: partial small subunit ribosomal RNA
Source: RNAcentral
CUUAAAAGGGGGCAGUAGGGGCCAGUCAAGGAGUCUCGGGCGUUGCGCGAGUGCGUUAUGCAAAUAUCCGUCGGCCGGCGCCGUAAGUAAAUGACCGCGGCAGCCUCAGUCGCCGCUACCUCCGCGUGUCCGCCACCCUGUGCAGCCCCUCGCCCAGCGCGAUGUCGAAGUCCUGCAGCCACUCGUCGGAGCGCCUGAAGCCGCCGCUCUAACACCUCCGCCUCCGCUCUGCCCGGCGGCACCUGUCCCACAAGCACCGGCAGGGGCCUCUCCAGUUCGUGCCCUCCUCGCGGGACGUCACCCGCGACGUAUUGGACCGGUUCCUGCCGCGCGUCCAGCACCACCGAGUGCAGGUGGCGGGGCGCGUCUACUAGGGGUACUACCCUCGUUUUUACGUGAUAUGGUCCGACCUAGGUCUUGUCCAGUUCCUGAUGUCUUUCGUCCUCGAUCUUUUCCGUAACCUUUCCGAUCUUCUUAUACAACACGAUACGUGUUACGAUUUCCAGUCGACACUCUUCUAGUAUUAACUCUUUCUACUACAACGAUUUCCUGAACUCCUCGAAUAACGGGAAGUACCGUAGUGGUUCGAACAGUACCCUCGUCGACGUCUGUUUGUAAUGAGUUUCUUUUACUUUUCUGGUUUCAGGUUCUGUCGUGAGCCUGAUUACCUUCGUCUUCGGAGUGGUACAUUCUAUACCAAAUGAACAUUUCCUGUUGACUAUACAUGGUCCCUUCGUUUGUGUUGGUAAGGGUACUAUGGUGGUAGUGGACGUAGCUGUCAACGUAGUUGUAAUAGUCGUUCGUCGUAAAGGUCGGCGUACUCUAGCUAAUGCUAGGUGGUGAGUCUCUCACUUCGUGGUUCGAGUUUACCUUCAGGUGUCGUCUUAGACUUGUCUAGCUCUUGUCUUCACUACGCCGUAGUGAGAGCUCCUCGACCACCAUGCGGUGGAGUCGAUAAACUUGGAAACCUUGAGUUACGCUUACGGUCCGGUUGUUCUUGUGGUAACUCAAGAUACCUAAGGACCCUACUUAAACCCUCCUCUAGUGUUUCGAGGACCAUGUUAGAUAGUUCCUUGCUACUACGUUAGUCACAGAGGCUUAGUCGUUGUGUAGUAGGUUACGUGCUCAGACUGCUACUGGUGAAAAGUAGAGGAAAAGUACUCGAGCUCUUAGGUCCACGACUACGCCUUUACAUACCAUCUGAACUCCUCCGAGAGGCGCUUUGAGUUCUUAGCUUCUUUCUCCACAAGCUUCUUAGUUGGUUCGCGGCUUUUCGGCUUGAACUAGACGAAAGUCGAGAAGUUUUCCGGUUCCUCAACCUCUUCAACAUAGUAGUGCUCUAUUCUGUCUCUUUUUGUUAGCUCCUCUGUGAGCACUCUGUCCGCGUCCUCGAGCUUCGUUGCUUUUAAGUCACACUGUGCUAUAUGCUGGUUGAUGUACUACGUCUUCUUGUCUUCCGGCACAACCUCGUCGCGUACUGGCUCUACCUCAGACGAGAAUCUCUACCGCUCCUCUUCGACCGGUGUUCGUUCACGGAAGAGCUUCGCGAGGUUCGUCUGUUUCUCUUCGACGUUGUUCUCUCUCUACGGCGCCGUUGGCGCCGACGUCUCAACGCGGUCUUCUCGCUCGUCUCUUAAAGAUACCGCUGACUUCGUAACUUGUGGCUCAAGAGGCGGCAACUCGAGCUCGUCCGUUGAGCCUCGAAACUGCUUCACGAGUUCUAGCCGCUCCCGCCCAAGCCCACACAGAUGUUUCCGAGUGACGCGUCGUGUUGGCACCGAUAUUUCGACAACGUAGGCUUUUCGAACGUCCCGGUCAGUCUUAAGUUGGUUCUCCAACGACAGGAGCCGUCUCAUUCCGUGGGCUUGGAGCAACGCGACUAGCCCAGCACGGCCCUCCGCAAGCCGGACCACAUGCUCAUGGAGGGCUUGCCGUCGGAGCUCCUGGCCGAGCGCACGCGCUUGCUGUGCGGCGGCAACUGUACCGUCCACGCGUGGUCCUAGUAGAUGCUCUACACGAGCCGGGACUGCAAGGACGUGAGCUUGUUCGGCGUGGGCCACCAGGUGCCCCUGGACUUCGGCCGGUUGUAGGAGGACCUGCGGUUGGACCACUCGUUCGACCCCCUGAAGCCGUAGACGGCGGAGGACUGCGUCAGGCCGUGGAGGUGGCGGCGGUGGUGCGACAUGGCCUGCUGGUGGGGCUCCCCCUGGAAGCGUAUGUACCUGGGCCUCAAGGACAGCAGGCCGCUCGACUGCGGUGCGAGGCUGCAGAUGAGGAACCCGUAGUAGUAGGACGUCGAGGACUGCCCGUCCGCCGGGGUCUUCUAGCGGCUCCACCACCUCCUGCGCCACCUCUUCCCACUCGACGUGUGGCAGGAGCUGGGGAGGCGCCCCCGGACCGGCAAGCACGUCCGGUUGGUCGAGCGCGUGGAGCCGGACGCCACGCGGCUCUACUCGUCCUCCGCGGCGGGCCUGGAGCGGGCCCUCCACACCUGGCACCAGCUCGGGGACUACUUCCGGCGGAGCGACUGGCGGGCCGCCGGCUGCAAGCGACGGAGCAGCCGAAACGGCCUGCUCCGAAGGUGCGGCAGGAUGAAGCAGACGGGCUAGAAGGUCCUCUACUACUUACUAGGCGUGUAGCGCCGUCUGCCCAAGUGCAUGCUUCGUCUCCGCUAGUCUCCCACCGACCUGUCGCCCGUGCUGUGCAGCGGCUACUGGUUGGACUUCGAGCGCGUGGCGCUUGAGUGGGGCUUGGCCCCCGAGGCGAGCCACUAAGAGCUCACCGUUGUUGUCGUAGCCGUCAUGGUACUCCUGACCUCUACUGGUUAGGAACUUGUGCGUGCUUUAGGACAUUUACCACAUGUAUUUUCAAACUUAGCUUGUUUUAAUAAGGUUCCCUGCCUAAAUGGCUAUCACUAGACC